This 84-nucleotide transfer RNA is filed under the name Candidatus Nealsoniibacteriota bacterium. RNAcentral's name for it is "Candidatus Nealsonbacteria bacterium tRNA-Leu". It matches the Rfam family "tRNA". From Rfam's summary of the family: Transfer RNA (tRNA) molecules are approximately 80 nucleotides in length. Their secondary structure includes four short double-helical elements and three loops (D, anti-codon, and T loops). The record is from RNAcentral. Lineage: Bacteria; Candidatus Nealsoniibacteriota.
GCCGAGGUGGAGGAACUGGAAGACUCUCAUCCUUGAGGUGGAUGUGUCAGCAAUGACGUGCGGGUUCGACUCCCGCCCUCGGCA